AGAUGUCUCUGGAAAACCUGCCUUACAUGGAUGAGCAAGUGUGGAUCUACAGGGAUGUGACAUCCAUGAAUCUGGUAACAGAUUUCUUAUGGGUUAGCUACGAUGGAAUGGACAGUGCUGAUGUGUACCUCAGUUACUUUGCAGGAAGAACUUGUGGCCUGUGUGGAUCCUUUGAUGGAGACCAGAACAAUGAUAUGAUACUUCCUUCAGGAGAAUUGGCAAGAUCAGCAACUGAGUUUGGAAACAGCUG
Molecule: long non-coding RNA, 250 nt
Organism: Strongylocentrotus purpuratus (purple sea urchin)
Lineage: Eukaryota; Metazoa; Echinodermata; Echinoidea; Camarodonta; Strongylocentrotidae
Exons: 3
Source: RefSeq, a predicted model, not a curated record